Molecule: long non-coding RNA, 1057 nt
Organism: Lotus japonicus
Lineage: Eukaryota; Viridiplantae; Streptophyta; Magnoliopsida; Fabales; Fabaceae
Exons: 3
Source: RefSeq, a predicted model, not a curated record
CCCCCUUUUCUUGCAUUUUGCUUCAGCCUUUAGUUUUUUAAAGUUUUAAAUUGAUACAUUGGAAGUUGGCUUGGAUCAUCAGAUUGGUGAAAUGGUAUUUUACUCAACAUAAAUUGACUAUCGAUUAAUGGUAUACAUGUUAUUCAGGGGUAAAUAGUGGUCUUAAAUGGAUUCCAGUUAGCAGAGGCACUUUUCUAGAUGGCAUUUGUUCUGGCAGUGUUGUUGUGAAAGUGAUUCGUUUCUGGUCGUGUCCUACCUUAAAAGUGAAUGCAGCUUUGAAUCAUUUUUCGUCUGUCUCUUCUUCAAUCCUUAUGGUGAUGUGGUACCUGAUUUGAUGCUGAUUUCACCAACUCCAAUAUCGGUGUUGUAGAUGUUGGUCUUUAUGAACUAUUUGAGGUUCACAGGAAAAUAGACUAAUUUGAACUGAAACACCAGGUAGCUUGGAUGUAGUUCAAGAAAUCAUGGUCAAGGAGAAUGUUCACCUUUGAGUAAUGUUUAAUCACUAGUAUAUCUGCCCGUGCUCUGCACGGUUAGUUUUCCAUGAUAAAUUGUGUAACACAAACAAUACUCUACCCAUAUAUUACAUAUUAUUGAUCAGAAAAUCUGGGCCAUUCAUUCACUUGUGAACACAGUUCAUCGUUCAUUUCACUACAUGAAAACAAUACCACUUCAGCAAAACCUAGAAAUCCUAUUAGGUCUGAUCAUGUAUUAAUACAUCAAUAAUGGCUUCUUUCUCACAGGUAAAAAAAAAGGUCAAUGUAUCUCCUUCCUUUAAUCCAUGUGUUCUGCAAAAGGUUCUCCAACCCUUACCAAAUCUCGCAUAUGUGCGUCGUGGAACACCAAGAAUCUUGCAUUGAACUUCUUUGCCAGUUGGCCCUCUCAAUAGCCAGUUGUAAACUUCACCUUGUCGUAGAUAUUCAUAAACAUGUGCAGGCAAAUUCUGCAAGCAUCAUUACAACCUAUUAGGAACCUUAAUUAGCAUGUUAAAAAGCUUAAGCAAAUUAGUUUUACUAUACCAGCUGACUUGAAGAUACUUGAUUUGGUGAUAGCCUGGAGG